This 442-nucleotide long non-coding RNA is filed under the name Androctonus crassicauda. The record is from RNAcentral. Lineage: Eukaryota; Metazoa; Arthropoda; Arachnida; Scorpiones; Buthidae.
AAAAGUUUGAUGAAAUACUUCAUGAAAUAUCACCUCCACCGAAACUAAAUCCACAGCCAGGUCCAUCAUCUUCUUGAACAAGAAGAAAUGCUCAGAAAGCAGUUAUAAUAACAAGUAAUGACAAAUUACUAGAAUUACAGCGUGCCGAAGAAAAAAAGAUGAAUGAAAUCAAACCACCAAAUGCCGGGCACAAAAUACAAAGAGUACAAAAUAAAACUUCCUGGUUUUGUACUAGGCCUAUAUGUGAUGAAACAAAGGAAGAAGAGAUGAUACAAUGCAUUAAAUGUCACACUUGGGUCCAUACAAAAUAUGCUGGAGUGAGUCCAAAAAUCAAGAAGUACUUUUGUUUCAAUUGCGCCUGAUGGUCCAUUCUGAGAAACCUGUGGUCCAUUUUGGGAAACCAGUUUCUUUGAUUGGAUCGAUUGCUCAAUUUUUAUAAACU